GACGAACGCUGGCGGCGUGCUUAACACAUGCAAGUCGAACGGAAAGGCCCUGCUUUUGUGGGGUGCUCGAGUGGCGAACGGGUGAGUAACACGUGAGUAACCUGCCCUUGACUUUGGGAUAACUUCAGGAAACUGGGGCUAAUACCGGAUAGGAGCUCCUGCUGCAUGGUGGGGGUUGGAAAGUUUCGGCGGUUGGGGAUGGACUCGCGGCUUAUCAGCUUGUUGGUGGGGUAGUGGCUUACCAAGGCUGUGACGGGUAGCCGGCCUGAGAGGGUGACCGGCCACAUUGGGACUGAGAUACGGCGCAGACUGGUACGGGAGGCAGCAGUGGGGAAUAUUGCACAAUGGGCGGAAGUCUGAUGCAGAAACGCCGCGUGCGGGAUGACGGCCUUCGGGUUGUAAACAGCUUUAGCCUGUGACGAAGCGUGAGUGACGGUAAUGGGUAAAGAAGCACCGGCUAACUACGUG
Molecule: ribosomal RNA, 468 nt
Filed under: uncultured bacterium
Lineage: Bacteria
Description: partial 16S ribosomal RNA
Rfam family: Bacterial small subunit ribosomal RNA
Source: RNAcentral